Molecule: transfer RNA, 76 nt
Filed under: bacterium
Lineage: Bacteria
Description: tRNA-Ile
Rfam family: tRNA (bases 18-76)
About the family: Transfer RNA (tRNA) molecules are approximately 80 nucleotides in length. Their secondary structure includes four short double-helical elements and three loops (D, anti-codon, and T loops). Further hydrogen bonds mediate the characteristic L-shaped molecular structure. tRNAs have two regions of fundamental functional importance: the anti-codon, which is responsible for specific mRNA codon recognition, and the 3' end, to which the tRNAs corresponding amino acid is attached (by aminoacyl-tRNA synthetases). tRNAs cope with the degeneracy of the genetic code in two manners: having more than one tRNA (with a specific anti-codon) for a particular amino acid; and 'wobble' base-pairing, i.e. permitting non-standard base-pairing at the 3rd anti-codon position.
Source: RNAcentral
GGACGACCCGGUCGUUCGGGCGGGGAACGCUGUCCUGAUAAGACAGAGGUCGGAGGUUCGAUCCCUCCGUCGCCCA